Molecule: ribosomal RNA, 492 nt
Filed under: uncultured bacterium
Lineage: Bacteria
Description: partial 16S ribosomal RNA
Rfam family: Bacterial small subunit ribosomal RNA
Source: RNAcentral
AGUGAACGCUGGCGGUAGGCCUAACACAUGCAAGUCGAACGGCAACACAGUAAGAGCUUGCUCUUACGGGUGGCGAGUGGCGGACGGGUGAGGAAUACAUAGGAAUCUACUUUUUCGUGGGGGACAACGUAGGGAAACUUAUGCUAAUAGCGCAUACGACCUACGGGUGAAAGCAGGGGAUAUUCGGACCUUGCGCGACAGUAUGAGCCGGUGUCGGAUUAGCUAGUUGGCGGGGUAAAGGCCCACCAAGGCGACGAUCCGUAGCUGGUCUGAGAGGAUGAUCAGCCACACUGGAACUGAGACACGGUCCAGACUCCUACGGGAGGCAGCAGUGGGGAAUAUUGGACAAUGGGCGCAAGCCUGAUCCAGCCAUACCGCGUGGGUGAAGAAGGCCUUCGGGUUGUAAAGCCCUUUUGUUGGGAAAGAAAAGCAGCAGGUUAAUACCCCGCUGUUCUGACGGUACCCAAAGAAUAAGCACCGGCUAACUUCGUG